RNAcentral lists this ribosomal RNA (468 nucleotides) under uncultured bacterium. Its description in RNAcentral is "partial 16S ribosomal RNA". It matches the Rfam family "Bacterial small subunit ribosomal RNA", at positions 28 to 507 of the family's 1533-position model. The record is from RNAcentral.
GACGAACGCUGGCGGUGUGCUUAACACAUGCAAGUCGAACGGUAAGGCCGUGCUUUUGUGGGGUACUCGAAUCGCGACCUGGCGAGUAAUAGGUGAGUACGCUGCCCUUGUCUUUGGGGUAACUUAAGGAAACUGGGGCUAAUACCGGAUAGGAGCUACUGCUGCGUGGUGGGGGGUGGAAAGUUUCGGCGGUUGUGGAUGGACUCGCGGCUUAACAGCUUGUUGGUGGGGUAGUGGCUUACCAAGGCUUUGGCGGGUGCCCGGCCUGAGUGGGUGACCGGCCAAAUUGGGACUGGGGUACGGCCCAGACCCCUACGGGAGGCAACAGUGGGGAAUAUUGCACAAUGGGCGGAAGCCUGAUGCAGCAACGCCGCGGUCGGGAUAACGGCCUUCGGGUGGUAAACCGCUUUCGCCUGUGACGAAGCGUUAAUGACGAUAAUGGAUAAAGAAGCACCGGCUAACUACGUG